AGCAAAUGGGAGAGGCACACAUUGGGUAUGAGUGGGACUCAACUAAAGAGUCAAGUGAUGAGGAUGUGAAAGUUGCAUCUAUGGCAAUUCACAAGUCAUCCUCUACACCAAGACUCUUCACCAACUUGUCCGAUGAUGAUGAUCACCACUCCCCUCAUAUUUGUCUCAUGGCAAAGGGUGACAAGGUAGAAUCAAAUACCAAACCUUCUCCACAACCUAGUGAUAUAUCUAGGCCUUGUUUACUUCCACCCAAAAUCCAAAAACUUUUCAAGAUUCCCCAUCACAUCAAAUCUUUAGACACAUGCAUGGAGUAUUAAAUAUAAACAAAAAUAAAAAAUAAUUUUACAGUUUAGUCGAAACUUACGAGACGAAUCUGUUAAGCCUAGUUAGUCCAUGAUUUGACAAUAAUUACCACAAACAAACAAAAAUGCUACAGUGCCGUGAAAAAAUUUCGCCC
This 457-nucleotide long non-coding RNA is filed under the name Sorghum bicolor (sorghum). Its description in RNAcentral is "long non-coding RNA (SBIC_LNC013993)". The record is from RNAcentral. Lineage: Eukaryota; Viridiplantae; Streptophyta; Magnoliopsida; Poales; Poaceae.